RNAcentral lists this unclassified non-coding RNA (364 nucleotides) under uncultured Pseudobdellovibrionaceae bacterium. Its description in RNAcentral is "uncultured Bdellovibrionaceae bacterium contains 16S-23S intergenic spacer region". The record is from RNAcentral. Lineage: Bacteria; Pseudomonadati; Bdellovibrionota; Bdellovibrionia; Bdellovibrionales; Pseudobdellovibrionaceae.
UCUGCGUUUCGCGCAGCGGUCUCGCUAGAGAGAUUCAACUAGCGACGAGGGUUGCGCUCGUUGCGGGACUUAACCCAACACCUCACGACACGAGCUGACGACAGCCAUGCAGCACCUGUGAACCAGCCAUUGCUGGCGACCACAUUUCUGUGAGUCUUCCGGUCCAUGUCAAAUCUAGGUAAGGUUCUGCGCGUUGCAUCGAAUUAAACCACAUGCUCCACCGCUUGUGCGGGCCCCCGUCAAUUUCUUUGAGUUUUAACCUUGCGGCCGUACUCCCCAGGCGGGAUACUUAACGCGUUAGCUUCGGCACUGAAGGGGUCAAUACCUCCAACACCAAGUAUCCAUCGUUUACGGUGCGGACUAC